Molecule: ribosomal RNA, 460 nt
Filed under: uncultured bacterium
Lineage: Bacteria
Description: partial 16S ribosomal RNA
Rfam family: Bacterial small subunit ribosomal RNA
Source: RNAcentral
CCUACGGGCGGCAGCAGUGAGGAAUCUUCGUCAAUGGACGGAAGGCUGACCCAGCCAUGCCGCGUGAGGGUCAGUGCCCUUUGGGCGUUAAACUUCUUUUGUGCGAGAGCAAUAAUGGUCACGUUUGGUCAGCCGAGCGUGCCGUAAGAUUACGAAUCAGCUACCUCCGUGCCAGCAGCCGCGGUCAUACGGUGGAUGCAAGCGUUAUCCGGAUUUAGUGGGUUUGAAGGGUGCGUGGGCUGGGAGGUAAGUCAGCGUGGAAAUGCCACCGCGCAAGGGGGUGAAGUGCCCUUGAUACUGCGUGGCUUGAAUGCGGAAGCGGUGAGAGGAAUGUGUGGUGUAGCGGUGAAAUGCAUAGAUAUCACACGGAACACCAAUUGCGAAGGCAGCUCACUAAUCCGCAAUUGACGCUGAGGCACGAAAGCGUGGGUAUCAAACAGGAUUAGAUACCCUAGUAGUC